CCUACGGGCGGCAGCAGUGGGGAAUAUUGGACAAUGGGGGGGAACCCUGAUCCAGCCAUGCCGCGUGUGUGAAGAAGGCCCUCGGGUUGUAAAGCACUUUCAGUGAGGAAGAACGCCUGGUGGUUAAUACCCAUCAGGAAAGACAUCACUCACAGAAGAAGCACCGGCUAACUCCGUGCCAGCAGCCGCGGUAAUACGGAGGGUGCGAGCGUUAAUCGGAAUUACUGGGCGUAAAGCGCGCGUAGGUGGCUUGAUAAGCCGGUUGUGAAAGCCCCGGGCUCAACCUGGGAACGGCAUCCGGAACUGUCAAGCUAGAGUGCAGGAGAGGAAGGUAGAAUUCCCGGUGUAGCGGUGAAAUGCGUAGAGAUCGGGAGGAAUACCAGUGGCGAAGGCGGCCUUCUGGACUGACACUGACACUGAGGUGCGAAAGCGUGGGUAGCAAACAGGAUUAGAUACCCGAGUAGUC
RNAcentral lists this ribosomal RNA (466 nucleotides) under Vreelandella stevensii. RNAcentral's name for it is "partial 16S ribosomal RNA". It matches the Rfam family "Bacterial small subunit ribosomal RNA", at positions 338 to 795 of the family's 1533-position model. The record is from RNAcentral. Lineage: Bacteria; Pseudomonadati; Pseudomonadota; Gammaproteobacteria; Oceanospirillales; Halomonadaceae.